AUAGAACGCUGGCGGCAGGCCUAACACAUGCAAGUCGAACGGUAACAGGAAGAAGCUUGCUUCUUUGCUGACGAGUGGCGGACGGGUGAGUAAUGUCUGGGAAACUGCCUGAUGGAGGGGGAUAACUACUGGAAACGGUAGCUAAUACCGCAUAACGUCGCAAGACCAAAGAGGGGGACCUUCGGGCCUCUUGCCAUCGGAUGUGCCCAGAUGGGAUUAGCUAGUAGGUGGGGUAACGGCUCACCUAGGCGACGAUCCCUAGCUGGUCUGAGAGGAUGACCAGCCACACUGGAACUGAGACACGGUCCAGACUCCUACGGGAGGCAGCAGUGGGGAAUAUUGCACAAUGGGCGCAAGCCUGAUGCAGCCAUGCCGCGUGUAUGAAGAAGGCCUUCGGGUUGUAAAGUACUUUCAGCGGGGAGGAAGGGAGUAAAGUUAAUACCUUUGCUCAUUGACGUUACCCGCAGAAGAAGCACCGGCUAACUCCGUG
This 490-nucleotide ribosomal RNA is filed under the name uncultured bacterium. Its description in RNAcentral is "partial 16S ribosomal RNA". It matches the Rfam family "Bacterial small subunit ribosomal RNA", at positions 31 to 507 of the family's 1533-position model. The record is from RNAcentral.